Molecule: ribosomal RNA, 1669 nt
Filed under: Escherichia coli
Lineage: Bacteria; Pseudomonadati; Pseudomonadota; Gammaproteobacteria; Enterobacterales; Enterobacteriaceae
Description: partial 23S ribosomal RNA
Rfam family: Bacterial large subunit ribosomal RNA
Source: RNAcentral
CACACUAUCAUUAACUGAAUCCAUAGGUUAAUGAGGCGAACCGGGGGAACUGAAACAUCUAAGUACCCCGAGGAAAAGAAAUCAACCGAGAUUCCCCCAGUAGCGGCGAGCGAACGGGGAGCAGCCCAGAGCCUGAAUCAGUGUGUGUGUUAGUGGAAGCGUCUGGAAAGGCGCGCGAUACAGGGUGACAGCCCCGUACACAAAAAUGCACAUGCUGUGAGCUCGAUGAGUAGGGCGGGACACGUGGUAUCCUGUCUGAAUAUGGGGGGACCAUCCUCCAAGGCUAAAUACUCCUGACUGACCGAUAGUGAACCAGUACCGUGAGGGAAAGGCGAAAAGAACCCCGGCGAGGGGAGUGAAAAAGAACCUGAAACCGUGUACGUACAAGCAGUGGGAGCCUCUUUAUGGGGUGACUGCGUACCUUUUGUAUAAUGGGUCAGCGACUUAUAUUCUGUAGCAAGGUUAACCGAAUAGGGGAGCCGAAGGGAAACCGAGUCUUAACUGGGCGUUAAGUUGCAGGGUAUAGACCCGAAACCCGGUGAUCUAGCCAUGGGCAGGUUGAAGGUUGGGUAACACUAACUGGAGGACCGAACCGACUAAUGUUGAAAAAUUAGCGGAUGACUUGUGGCUGGGGGUGAAAGGCCAAUCAAACCGGGAGAUAGCUGGUUCUCCCCGAAAGCUAUUUAGGUAGCGCCUCGUGAAUUCAUCUCCGGGGGUAGAGCACUGUUUCGGCAAGGGGGUCAUCCCGACUUACCAACCCGAUGCAAACUGCGAAUACCGGAGAAUGUUAUCACGGGAGACACACGGCGGGUGCUAACGUCCGUCGUGAAGAGGGAAACAACCCAGACCGCCAGCUAAGGUCCCAAAGUCAUGGUUAAGUGGGAAACGAUGUGGGAAGGCCCAGACAGCCAGGAUGUUGGCUUAGAAGCAGCCAUCAUUUAAAGAAAGCGUAAUAGCUCACUGGUCGAGUCGGCCUGCGCGGAAGAUGUAACGGGGCUAAACCAUGCACCGAAGCUGCGGCAGCGACGCUUAUGCGUUGUUGGGUAGGGGAGCGUUCUGUAAGCCUGUGAAGGUGUGCUGUGAGGCAUGCUGGAGGUAUCAGAAGUGCGAAUGCUGACAUAAGUAACGAUAAAGCGGGUGAAAAGCCCGCUCGCCGGAAGACCAAGGGUUCCUGUCCAACGUUAAUCGGGGCAGGGUGAGUCGACCCCUAAGGCGAGGCCGAAAGGCGUAGUCGAUGGGAAACAGGUUAAUAUUCCUGUACUUGGUGUUACUGCGAAGGGGGGACGGAGAAGGCUAUGUUGGCCGGGCGACGGUUGUCCCGGUUUAAGCGUGUAGGCUGGUUUUCCAGGCAAAUCCGGAAAAUCAAGGCUGAGGCGUGAUGACGAGGCACUACGGUGCUGAAGCAACAAAUGCCCUGCUUCCAGGAAAAGCCUCUAAGCAUCAGGUAACAUCAAAUCGUACCCCAAACCGACACAGGUGGUCAGGUAGAGAAUACCAAGGCGCUUGAGAGAACUCGGGUGAAGGAACUAGGCAAAAUGGUGCCGUAACUUCGGGAGAAGGCACGCUGAUAUGUAGGUGAAGCGACUUGCUCGUGGAGCUGAAAUCAGUCGAAGAUACCAGCUGGCUGCAACUGUUUAUUAAAAACACAGCACUGUGCAAACACGAAAGU